This 74-nucleotide transfer RNA is filed under the name Patescibacteria group bacterium. RNAcentral describes it as "tRNA-Ala". It matches the Rfam family "tRNA". Rfam says of the family: Transfer RNA (tRNA) molecules are approximately 80 nucleotides in length. The record is from RNAcentral.
GGGGAUGUAGCUCAGUUGGGUAGAGCGCUUGCCUCGCAUGCAAGAGGUCGGGGGUUCGAAUCCCCCCAUCUCCA